ACACACAGUUUUAAAUGCACCAUCCAUUCAAUGAUAUAUUGGUCUAAAAUUCUCUUUUUUGUUGUGUCUCUGGCCAGGCUUUGGUAUCAGGAUGAUACUGGCCUCAUAAAUUUAUUAUUUCUAAUCAAAUAUUGGUUUGUUCUCAUCUCGGAUCCUAAAAUGCAGAGACUGGAUUAUUAAAUCUUUACUUUUUCUUUUUACUUUCUCUCUCUGGUUUCUUCUUUUGUGCGUUUUUCAUUUCUUGCUCUCUUUUUUUUGCUCUCUCUUCAUUCUCUUUUCCCUCGUUCUCUCUACUUUUUCCUCUUGCUUUACCCUGUUCAGAUUGGAGUAGAGUUCGCCAAAGCUCUUGGAGAGAAAGGUAUGGCCAUCCCUGGAGGACUCCCUGAACCAGAACAUGACAUUAGCAGAAGAGUGGAAUGAUCACACCAUCGUGGGCCCUCUGAACCUUUUAAUAGGAAUUAUUUUAAUUUUAAUUUGCUUUCAUUUCAUCCACUUAUUUUUUCUUUGUAUUAAAUUCGUUCCACACUGCUAUAACGAACUACUUGAGACUGGGUAAUUUAUGAAGAAAAGAGCUUUAAUCGACUCACAGUUCUGCAGGCUAUACAGGAAGCGUGGCUCCGAGGCCUCAUGAAACUUACAAUAAUGACAGAAGGGCAAAGGAGAAGCCAGCACAUCUUGACUUGGAAGCAGGAGAGAGAGAAAGCACACAAAGGCAGAAGAGCUACACACUUUCAAACUACCAGAUCUUGUGAGAACUCUA
Molecule: long non-coding RNA, 760 nt
Filed under: Homo sapiens (human)
Lineage: Eukaryota; Metazoa; Chordata; Mammalia; Primates; Hominidae
Description: HSALNT0250603
Source: RNAcentral